UGAACGCUAGCUACAGGCUUAACACAUGCAAGUCGAGGGGCAUCAGGAAGAAAGCUUGCUUUCUUUGCUGGCGACCGGCGCACGGGUGAGUAACACGUAUCCAACCUGCCCUUUACUCGGGGAUAGCCUUUCGAAAGAAAGAUUAAUACCCGAUAGCAUAAUGAUUCCGCAUGGUUUCAUUAUUAAAGGAUUCCGGUAAAGGAUGGGGAUGCGUUCCAUUAGGUUGUUGGUGAGGUAACGGCCCACCAAGCCUUCGAUGGAUAGGGGUUCUGAGAGGAAGGUCCCCCACAUUGGAACUGAGACACGGUCCAAACUCCUACGGGAGGCAGCAGUGAGGAAUAUUGGUCAAUGGGCGCUAGCCUGAACCAGCCAAGUAGCGUGAAGGAUGAAGGCUCUAUGGGUCGUAAACUUCUUUCAUAUAAGAAUAAAGUGCAGUAUGUAUACUGUUUUGUAUGUAUUAUAUGAAUAAGGAUCGGCUAACUCCGUGCCAGCAGCCGCGGUAAUACGGAGGAUCCGAGCGUUAUCCGGAUUUAUUGGGUUUAAAGGGAGCGUAGGUGGACUGGUAAGUCAGUUGUGAAAGUUUGCGGCUCAACCGUAAAAUUGCAGUUGAUACUGUCAGUCUUGAGUACAGUAGAGGUGGGCGGAAUUCGUGGUGUAGCGGUGAAAUGCUUAGAUAUCACGAAAAACUCCGAUUGCGAAGGCAGCUCACUGGACUGCAACUGACACUGAUGCUCGAAAGUGUGGGUAUCAAACAGGAUUAGAUACCCUGGUAGUCCACACAGUAAACGAUGAAUACUCGCUGUUUGCGAUAUACAGUAAGCGGCCAAGCGAAAGCAUUAAGUAUUCCACCUGGGGAGUACGCCGGCAACGGUGAAACUCAAAGGAAUUGACGGGGGCCCGCACAAGCGGAGGAACAUGUGGUUUAAUUCGAUGAUACGCGAGGAACCUUACCCGGGCUUAAAUUGCAGUGGAAUGAUGUGGAAACAUGUCAGUGAGCAAUCACCGCUGUGAAGGUGCUGCAUGGUUGUCGUCAGCUCGUGCCGUGAGGUGUCGGCUUAAGUGCCAUAACGAGCGCAACCCUUAUCUUUAGUUACUAACAGGUUAUGCUGAGGACUCUAGAGAGACUGCCGUCGUAAGAUGUGAGGAAGGUGGGGAUGACGUCAAAUCAGCACGGCCCUUACGUCCGGGGCUACACACGUGUUACAAUGGGGGGUACAGAAGGCAGCUAGCGGGUGACCGUAUGCUAAUCCCAAAAUCCUCUCUCAGUUCGGAUCGAAGUCUGCAACCCGACUUCGUGAAGCUGGAUUCGCCAGUAAUCGCGCAUCAGCCACGGCGCGGUGAAUACGUUCCCGGGCCUUGUACACACCGCCCGUCAAGCCAUGGGAGCCGGGGGUACCUGAAGUACGUAACCGCAAGGAUCGUCCUAGGGUAAAACUGGUGACUGGGGC
RNAcentral lists this ribosomal RNA (1448 nucleotides) under uncultured organism. RNAcentral describes it as "16S ribosomal RNA". It matches the Rfam family "Bacterial small subunit ribosomal RNA". The record is from RNAcentral.